RNAcentral lists this ribosomal RNA (271 nucleotides) under uncultured archaeon. Its description in RNAcentral is "partial 16S ribosomal RNA". It matches the Rfam family "Archaeal small subunit ribosomal RNA", at positions 477 to 747 of the family's 1478-position model. The record is from RNAcentral.
CAGCGCCACGAGUGGUAACCACGUUUAUUGGGCCUAAAGCGUCCGUAGCCGGUUUGAUAAAUCUUUUGUGAAAUUGUACAGCUUAACUGUACAGCGUGCAAGAGACACUGUCAAACUUGAGACCGGGAGGAGUCAGAAGUAUUCCAGAGGGAGCGGUAAAAUGUUAUAAUCUCUGGAGGACUACCUGUGGCGAAGGCGUCUGACCAGAACGGAUCUGACGGUGAGGGACGAAAGCUAGGGGAGCGAACCGGAUUAGAGACCCGAGUAGUCC